RNAcentral lists this long non-coding RNA (240 nucleotides) under Brachypodium distachyon (stiff brome). RNAcentral describes it as "long non-coding RNA (BDIS_LNC001907)". The record is from RNAcentral. Lineage: Eukaryota; Viridiplantae; Streptophyta; Magnoliopsida; Poales; Poaceae.
GACCAGAACGGUUUCAUCUCUGCUGCUGAGCUCCGCCAUGUCAUGACCAACCUCGGGGAGAAGCUGACCGAUGAGGAGGUCGAUGAGAUGAUCCGUGAGGCCGAUGUGGACGGCGAUGGGCAGAUCAACUACGAGGAGUUCGUCAAGGUCAUGAUGGCCAAGUGAAGGUCCCGUGAAAUAAGAUUGAAAUUAUCAGACGUACAAGCUGUACUUUGUUAUGUGCCUCUCAAGUACUCAUCU